UGGUGAUGGUUCUGAGGACUUCCGACUCAGCAGCGGGAGUGGCAGCAGCAGUGAGACUGUGGGCCGAGAUGACAGCACAAACCACCUGCUCCUGUGGAGGGUGUGAGCCUGCCCUCUGUGGUCCAGAACUCACCUGUCCACCUGCCCUCAGCCUGCCUGUCUCUUCCCAGGCCAUGUGCAGACCUUGAGCAGAGUGUCCAAGCAGGGGCAUACCGUGCGGACUCUGUCUCAUCUUUGUGGAAGCAUUCCUGGUAGAACAGCACCAGCUAGGCCGAGGCCUCUCUUACCCACUGACUACCCUAGCGCUCCCACUAGGAGCAGGGUGGGGAUGUGGGGACUGCCCAGGACCUCUGACCCUGAAGCUUCUACCAAAGACACAGCUGGGCCUGGACCCCACAGGGCUGGGGAGGCCGUGUGCAAUAUAUGGAGAGCGCUCUGGGGCAGUGGGAAGGAAGGCUAAGGGGCGGCACUGCACCCUUCCCUGUGUACAGUAUUUAUGUUACUUUUCAGAUGAAUACUUUCCAAAGCACUUAUUUAUGCAGUGACCUAGGGCAGGACAUGAUGUGAGGAGGAGAAGACAGAAGGAUAAAAGUCUGUUCCUGCCUGAGAGGCCACCAUGGAACCCUAACCAGGCUGUCCUGGAAGGACCAAUGCCCAUCUGUUUUACACACACACACACACACACACACACACACACACACACACACCCCACUCAACACAUUCACACUCACUCUGCAUGUUCAGGGCACUAAGACACUGUCCCUUAACAUAAACUCCAGCCCUCGCUGAUGGGGCUGCCCAUCCUAGUCCAGAAGGGAAGUUUGCUCAGUUACUCUCACUGGGGAGCUUCCCGGGGCUUAGCAUUUCCAAGGUGAUGCCUGAGGUUCCUUAAUGUGGGAGCAUCGGUAGGUCUGGGACAGGGCUUUCUCAGGUAAGAGAAAAGGGCCUUCAGUCCUCGAAGCUGGCUCAAGCCCCAGCUCCUGCCUCCCCAUGUCUCAUGCACUGGCACGAUGGUCACCUUGUGGGUGGGCCUACGAGUCCCCUUUCUCUGACCACUGAAUCGACUCCCUCUCUAAACAUCCACCCUGCCAAGGGCAGCCCCUUCAGGAAGGACACCCCACCCCUACCUGCCGAGUUGAGGGGCUAGGCAUAGCCUUUUCAACUGGGAAUGCUAGCCCUCAUCGCCAGGCUGCAGGGAGCCAGCCACCCUGACCCUCAGCCCUUUGCUUCAGCUACAACUCCAAAGGUCUGGUUUCAGAUAGGGUUUAUUUGUUCUGUUUGAUUUUGUUUUUCUCUGGGGCGGGUGGGUCAUUGUGGUCUUAGAUGAUGUUUCUCUUGCUACCAAACAGCCAUGUAUUAACUCUCCUCGGAUGGUGAAAUUUAAAGAGUCAAUAAAUAGAAACACCAAAUGAUGGCUCCCCCGG
RNAcentral lists this long non-coding RNA (1424 nucleotides) under Rattus norvegicus (Norway rat). RNAcentral describes it as "long non-coding RNA NONRATT002981". The record is from RNAcentral. Lineage: Eukaryota; Metazoa; Chordata; Mammalia; Rodentia; Muridae.